This 86-nucleotide transfer RNA is filed under the name Macleaya cordata. It matches the Rfam family "tRNA". From Rfam's summary of the family: Transfer RNA (tRNA) molecules are approximately 80 nucleotides in length. Their secondary structure includes four short double-helical elements and three loops (D, anti-codon, and T loops). Lineage: Eukaryota; Viridiplantae; Streptophyta; Magnoliopsida; Ranunculales; Papaveraceae. The record is from Rfam by way of RNAcentral.
CCGACCUUAGCUCAGUUGGUAGAGCGGAGGACUGUAGUGGUUGCAGCUUAAUCCUUAGGUCACUGGUUCGAAUCCGGUAGGUCAGA